UAUCGUAUUGCUCUUUCCAACUCUGGCUUUACCACCGGGACUCGUACCGACGCCUAGAAUGAACAUUGUCACUGCAAGUCUCAUUAGAUGUGGUUCAACACAAAACAAACCAACGUUUCCAUUCGAACAGCAGACUCAACAAAUAAAUAAAAAACAAAACGCAAAAAAAUCAUUGGAAACAAGAGGGAAGAAAAACGAAGAACAUUGUCUUGGGGAUGAACUACAUACAAAUUUCCUUUCUGAAGUGAUAAAAAAUUGUUCGCGCCUCGUUUCCAAGCAACAAAAAGCAUCCUAAAUCGCCCCGGUUGAAGAAAAAAAAUAGGUGAAAUAAAAAAAAAAAUUUGCUGUUUUGUAUAUCUCACGUGGCUUAUCUGAAGUCGUAAUAAUAAACUCACUGGUAUCGAGCUGUCCAGGACUAUUUUUUGGUGCUGCUGGCCUCGUUGCUGAUACACGCGCACUAUUCUCCUUGAUGGUAGCUGCAUCAACAGUAUUUUGACGUUUGAAAUUACUACCACCAAUUGAUGUUA
This is a long non-coding RNA of Diachasmimorpha longicaudata, 527 nucleotides long. RefSeq lists it as uncharacterized. Lineage: Eukaryota; Metazoa; Arthropoda; Insecta; Hymenoptera; Braconidae. The transcript has 2 exons. The record is from RefSeq and is a predicted model, not a curated record.